Maylandia zebra (zebra mbuna) is the source of this 997-nucleotide non-coding RNA. NCBI's taxonomy places the organism in Eukaryota, Metazoa, Chordata, Actinopteri, Cichliformes, Cichlidae. The record is from RefSeq and is a predicted model, not a curated record.
AAAGCAGCUGGAGCUGAUCCAUGAAGAAGAGAGCAGCACAUAUACAUGCAAAUGCUACAUCAAAAAUGUCAGCAACAACACAGUGGAGGCCCGAACACAACAAGAGCUUCCAGCUCCAGCAGCCUCCUGUCCUCCAGAGAGAGAGCCAGCAGACCUGCCAGCUCUGCAGCCAGCUGACUGUAAGAUCACCUGCUGCCUCUCUGCAUGGACAGCUCCAAUGUCCAAUGAGGCAGCUGGAACAAGUUUAGGCUCUUAAAGUUGCACUAAUUGAUCAAAUCUUCAUCCAACAAGCUCUGAUAAAGCCACUGUACACUAGCUGCUCAGCACCAAACAGCAGACAGACCAUAAUAUGUCAGAGAUCAGUUUGUUAGCUGCUUGUGGAGUUCUUCUGCCCCCAAGUGGACACAAACACUACAUCAAUUCAUCCACUUGAAGAAGAAGCUGUGACUGUUUCUAUUUGGACUUUUUCUCCUUGAUCUGAGAGGAAUAACCCGACUGUCUGUCUGUCUCUUUGUGUCUGUCUGUCCUUCAGUGUCCUUCCAGUCUCAGUGCAGGGUGAAGCUGCUCUGCCUGCUGUACACAGUGCUGAUAGUGAAGAGUCUGGUGUACUGCUGUGGACUCUCUCUGCUGAUGAUGCUCACAAACAAGGGAGCGUCCACCAACUGCACACAUGCUGACUGACUGUUUCCUGCUCGCCUUUUCUCACCAUCACAUCUCAUCAAUUCAUCUCAUUCAUCACUUUGAUCACAAAUGUUAGUUAUGAUGUGUUGUGCUUAUUUUGCCUUUUUCUUCAACAGUUAGAAGAUCGUCUGAAAUAAAUACAUCUUUACAUGUAUUGUUGCUCUGAGUUAGAAUUCUUUUUGUGCUUAUUGUGACUUUUAUUGUAGUAACAAAAACCAUCAGGAAUAUUUUUAUCACAAGUUUUCACUUUGAUUUUCAAAUGUCAAACAGUGUAGUUGUGUUUGUGUGAACAAUAAAGAUUUGAAGAUGAAGAGUU